This 2289-nucleotide long non-coding RNA is filed under the name Homo sapiens (human). RNAcentral's name for it is "HSALNT0330461". Lineage: Eukaryota; Metazoa; Chordata; Mammalia; Primates; Hominidae. The record is from RNAcentral.
AAACCAGCACUAUGUAUGAGUGCUGUGCCACUGCUGUCUCUGUAACUGGCAGCACUUGCUUAGGGCUCCUAAGAUUGGCUCCUUAUGGGGUUGGCUUUUUCAUGAACUUCGGUGUGAGAAACAGUGCCUCAGUAUCUGUCUGAGUAGAAGUCUCAUAAGCCAUUGCCUCUGGGACCCAGGUUUUGCUUGGCUUUCACAAGCCCUCCCCAGGAUGUGAAUUGAGGCUUUGAAUCCCAGUUCCUGCUGCCAACAACUUGACUCUGCUGAUGCCAGUGACAAGUCGGCAACUCUGUUUACAAUGAUAACAUGGCAUCAACAAUCAUAAGAGCUUGUCUAUCUCAUACUGGUUACAGGCCUCCUGUGGCUGCUGUCAGACUCCACUUGACCUCUAAGAAUGGUCCCCACAAUCCUAUCCACCCUAGAUGCUGUGACAUCAGCCCUCCGUCUGCCUGGCUCUAUGAUGGGAUUCAUUCUGAGGCUACUCUCUCUGGAUGGUCAGCUUAUUCUCAAGGUUAACCUGGGCCAAAUCCUGAUCCAGAUAAAGCAUCACUGAUAUUUUUGUCCAUCAUAAUGUUUGUCUGCAAGAAAAGUUACCUAGUUUAUCAAAUGUCUACUUCAUUUCCAAAAAGUGAGGUUCACGUUCACUGCCAUGGCAAAGGCUGGCCUUCCUUCGUUCAAUGAAUUAAGACUAUAUGCUUUGGGCUUACAUUUACUAUCUAGGAAAUAAUUCUGUUUCCCAAAAUAUGGGCCACGUGCCAUCAGUGGUUUGUGAAUUUUUUAAUGUGGCACACUGACUUGACAUCACUUACAUUAUAUUGCACAGUGAGAACAUUGCUUUCUUUUUAAUUCUAUUUGAAACCAGUUGGUGGAGUCAGAAAAGAAAAACGUCUCGGUUUGGGAUUAGUAUAUCUUCCCCAUUUUAUCUUUUGUUAAUCUCUCUUUUUAUAUAAUAAAGAGGAGGCCAUGGGCUGAGAACUCCAGUAGACUAACAGUGACUCUCAAGUAUGUGAUAACAUUGUCUUCUUUACCAUUCUAUUUAUUUGUAUGGUUACCUUCCAUUUAUGGCAGGUAGUACUGACUUUCCAUUUGUAGCAGUGAUUUAAAGUUCCUUUUGUAAGUAAAUAUGUAUAAGAAAGAAGAUGAUUUUGUUUAAAGAAGAGUAUCAUAUCAACUAGGAUAUGGGUGUUAGGAAGGCGCAGCAAAAAUCAUUAUGGUCAAAAAGACUGAAAUUUGGAAAACGUUGAUGAAAGAAAUGCAUUGUCCUUUGUGCCAACUCACCAUGAGUAGAACAAACUCUGAAUAGUGUUUAUUUUUCUCUUUUGCCAGCAGUGAGAAUAAACUGCAAGGAGUGAUUAUACAUUCUAUAAAUAUUUUCUGAGAGCUUAAUCAACAAGUUACUCUCUAUUGCACCUUUGAGAACAAAGUUUAGGUCCCCCAAUACCUUCAUCCUCAGCACAGACUCUGCCUGCCUCCUCACUCUCAUCUGCCAAUCUCUCCAAAGUGCCCCACAAUCCCACCAUAGUGGUCUUUCUCCAGUUCCUCAAAUCUUAAUACAUCUCUUCCCUUCUGCCUCUAGGCCUUUGCACAUACUGGCCCCUCUCUCUGGAAUACCCUUCCUUCCUUCCACCUCUUCUUUUUUCACUUGACCAAGUCAGCUAUUGGUCUAAAUGUUGCUUUUUUUCAGAGACAACUUGCUUGACUUUCAGGCCAGUUGAGCAUCUCCCCGAUGGCAUCUCAUUCUUCUACUCUGAGGCACUCUUCACAAUUGUAAUCAAGUAACCAUUUAGGUAUUGAUUUGUGUCAUGUCUGUCCCCUGCUGGACUGUAAGCUUGUGAGAGUAGUGAGCUUGCCUUAUGGUUGGUUCUCAAUAAGUAUUUUUGUAAAUGACUGAAUCAUGACCUAUGACAGCAUAUUACGUAGACACCAGGGCCCUAAAAUAAAACUUAGGUAACUAAAUGAAAAGAACAAAAUGAUUUUAACAAUUAAGGAUUGAAGUCAGGUACCUCUGACCACUAGUCAUAACAAGUGGCCAAAAUUAUGUGUGCAUUCAGUGAAUCAAAUCACCCAAGCACACAAACCUGGCCCUCUACAUUUAUUGCUUAUAAAAACAAAAGAUUGAGAACAUUGGUUGAAGCCAGAUGUUCUGCAGGCUGGAUCUCAUUGUCCUAACAUGACAGAUUCUCAUAACUGGAAAUGUGUGUAUUUGAGAUGCUGGAACAUAAGAUCCAACCCAGAAAAUAUUUUGAAAUAAUGUUUUUCAAUUACUUAAUCCUUGUUAGGCUAUUGAAG